Molecule: non-coding RNA, 219 nt
Filed under: Planococcus sp. (in: firmicutes)
Lineage: Bacteria; Bacillati; Bacillota; Bacilli; Caryophanales; Caryophanaceae
Description: Planococcus sp. T-box sequence
Rfam family: T-box leader
About the family: Uncharged tRNA acts as the effector for transcription antitermination of genes in the T-box leader family.
Source: RNAcentral
GCAAACGCAUAGAUCAGGAUUACUAAGAAAAUUUUAUUGUUUAGAGAGCUGUUAAUUGCUGAAAUGCAGCCAAUAAAAUUUCCCAACUCGCCUGUGAGUGGUCAGACUGAUAAGUAGGUCUGAACGGCUGACUCCCGUGAUAAGUUUUUUAGAAGGUCUGUGAAAAUACGGCAGGCUGAGAAGAGUGGUACCGCGCUAGGAAAACCUAUCGCCUCUUUA